Molecule: ribosomal RNA, 458 nt
Filed under: uncultured bacterium
Lineage: Bacteria
Description: partial 16S ribosomal RNA
Rfam family: Bacterial small subunit ribosomal RNA
Source: RNAcentral
GAUGAACGCUGGCGGCGUGCCUAAUACAUGCAAGUCGAGCGGUAAGGCCCCUUCGGGGGUACACGAGCGGCGGACGGCUGAGUAACACGUAGGAACGUACCCCAAACUGAGGGAUAAGCACCCGAAAUGGUGUCUAAUACCGCAUGUUGCCCACGGGCUAAAGCUUCGGCGGUUUGGGAACGGCCUGCGUCCGAUUAGCUUGUUGGUGAGGUAAUGGCUCACCAAGGCGACGAUCGGUAGCUGGUCUGAGAGGAUGAUCAGCCAGACUGGGACUGAGAACGGCCCAGACUCCUACGGGAGGCAGCAGUAGGGAAUUUUCCACAAUGGGCGAAAGCCUGAUGGAGCAACGCCGCGUGCAGGAUGAAUGCCUUCGGGUUGUAAACUGCUUUUAUCUGUGACGAAUAUGACGGUAGCAGAUGAAUAAGGAUCGGCUAACUCCGUGCCAGCAGCCGCGGUAA